Molecule: ribosomal RNA, 478 nt
Filed under: uncultured bacterium
Lineage: Bacteria
Description: partial 16S ribosomal RNA
Rfam family: Bacterial small subunit ribosomal RNA
Source: RNAcentral
GAUGAACGCUGGCGGCGUGCUUAACACAUGCAAGUCGAACGGGAAAUAUUUCAUUGAGACUUCGGUGGAUUUGAUUUAUUUCUAGUGGCGGACGGGUGAGUAACGCGUGGGUAACCUGCCUUAUACAGGGGGAUAACAGUCAGAAAUGGCUGCUAAUACCGCAUAAGCGCACAGAGCUGCAUGGCUCAGUGUGAAAAACUCCGGUGGUAUAAGAUGGACCCGCGUUGGAUUAGCUAGUUGGUGGGGUAACAGCCCACCAAGGCGACGAUCCAUAGCCGGCCUGAGAGGGUGAACGGCCACAUUGGGACUGAGACACGGCCCAGACUCCUACGGGAGGCAGCAGUGGGGAAUAUUGCACAAUGGGGGAAACCCUGAUGCAGCGACGCCGCGUGAAGGAAGAAGUAUCUCGGUAUGUAAACUUCUAUCAGCAGGGAAGAUAGUGACGGUACCUGACUAAGAAGCCCCGGCUAACUACGUG